GUUAGCCAUUGCCGUUCUCACUCUCACUGCUCGCGUUUCUUCUUCUUCGUCACCUUAUUAUUAUUCCAACUUUUUCUUCACUCGCUCCUUCAACAUUUUCACCACAAAGUUCGUCCCUUUCGAAAAACCUCACCAACGACGUCGUUUCUUCUGCAAAAGGGCAAUGGCUUCUUCAGCAGCUGCUAUCCCUUCUCUUUCUUAGAGAAUCACCGCACCCUAUGGCUCCUGGAAGUCCCCCAUCACCGCCGGCGUCGUCUCCGGCGCCUCCAAGAGACUUGGCGGCACCGCCUUCGACGGAUGCGGUCGCCUCAUUUGGCUGGAAUCACGUCCAGCAGAAUCGGGAGAAGGAAAGGAACACUGAGCUCACAGCUUUAGCCAUGAAGUUCAAACGAAUGGAGGCAAACAAACUGGUAAGAUACAUACCUGCGGCGGGGUCGAGUGGAGAAACCGGAGAAGAAAAGAGGGGAAGUUGAGGAAGAGAAAGAGGCAGUAGAUGGAGACGCAAAAGAAAUGCUAACGGCGGUGCUGAGGCGGAUGGCGCUUUGCCCAUGCAAGACCCUUCUUUGUUUGAUUUUUUCCCGCUUUGGUUUUUAUAUUGCUUUGGACGGAAAAAAGGUGUCACCUUUGUCUGAUUCCGAUGUUGUGGACUUUUGUUGUUGUGCUACGUACAAAUGUAGUUAUGUUUGAUUUUGAAGCUGUGACCUUUAUGUUUGUGACGAUCACACAGCCUGUUUGUCUUGCCUUCUCUGUGGGUUUGACCUUUGUGUUUGUUUUUAUGGCUAAAGCUUUCAACUUUGUGUUUCGCUGGGUCCCAAAAACUGUGAGCCUUCCAUUCUUUGCUCAAUUUAUUUUUUACUUAGUUUUUUUUGCUUUUGACGGAAAAAAGGUGUGACCUUUGUCUGUUUCCGAUGUUGUGGACUUCUGUUGUUGUGUUGGAUACUAAAGAUGUCGACUUUCUGUUAUCCUGGAUUAGAAAAUAAUGUGUUGUUGUUUGUGUAUUUUUUAUCUUCUACAGUUUAUUUUGGGUCGUUUUCACUUUGUUAGGUUCAUUGAGGGUAUGGGUUUGAUGCCUGAUCUAUAUGUUUAUGUAUUUUAAUUUUUGUUUUUUUUUUGUUCGAGCUAAUGUUUAUUUGUUUGCCUGAUUCUUGGAUCGAUGGUUACUAUUAUUUCUUGAUUUUGGGAUCGAUGUUUGCUAUUAUUUCCUUUGCAAGUCCAUGUUCUGAUGUUUGCUCUUCAAUAUCAUGGACCUAGAGGUGUUUGAAGGCACGGGGUAGUGUACAUUUCUUUGGCUUUCCUAUUUUUAGCUUUUUACCUGGAAAAACAUUUGGUUGUGUUUCAAGGCACAUGAUGAUACACAUUUGUAUCAGAUACAUCAUUUGUUUUUUUCCUGUGUUUCUUUUGGGUUACAAUUUCCCAGGUUUGGUUUGGACAGGGUGGAUGUCCAUGACUUUAAACUCAUAGAACUAAGUUGCCUUUCACACACUAUAAGGUACUUACUGGAGUCAGCCUGAUUCAUCUGGGCAUCUCUAAGUGAAUGAGGUUAUGACAAGUUGCCAUCAGUAUGUGUUUUUGCAUCUUUAUUGCUGUCGAUGACAUACUUAUUUGACUCAGUAUUGACCAUUAUAUAUUUCCUUUGUUCUCUUUAGAUACUGUGAGCAAUUUGCAGAACUUUCGGUAUGGGGUAAGGAUGUGUGGUUCUUGGAGUCAUUUUUAUUGUACCCAUUUCAUGAAAGCCUGCAGCUAAUUCUAUGUUUUAACACUUUAAUAUUUAUUCAAAUUCAAUUGGGUUUAAGAUCACACUAAAACUUAUCAAUAUUGCUUUUCUAUGUAGCCAUUACUGUUUGUUAUCUACUGAGCACAUCCACUCCUAAAAAAACAUUUGGUUGUGUUUCAAGACAUAGCCAGAUACACAUUUGUAACAGAUACAUCAUUUGGUUUUUUUCUUGGUUUCUUUUGGGUUACAGCCUCCCAGCUUUGGUUUCGACAUGGUGGAUGUCCAUGUAUUUAAACUCACACAACUAGCACUAUGAGGUACUUACUAGAGCCAGCAGGAUUCAUUUGGGUAUCUCUAAGUGAAUGGGGUAAUGACAAGUUGCAAUUAGUAUGCGUUUUUAUAUGUGAGCCUGCAUCUUUAUUGGUGUCAAUGACAUAUUUAUUUGACUUAGUAUUGUCCAUUAUAUAUUUCCUUUCUUCUGUUUGAAAAUUGUGAGUAAUUUGCAGAAUUGCAGGUAUGGGGUAAGGAUGUAUAGGUGACACUAAAAGCCUUUGAAUUUUGUAAAUUAAAUAUAUAGCCCUGAAAGUAGAUACCAUCAAAAUGUCUUCUUGGAGUCAUUUUUAUUGUACCGAUGGGAUCAAAACCUGCAACUAAUCCUAUGUUUAAACACUAUAAUAUUUAUUGAAAUCCAAUUAGAUUUUAGUAUUCACUAAAACUGAUAAAUAUUGAUUUUCUAUGUGGCCGGAACUGUUUGUUAUCUACUGAGCACAUUCACUGGCUUUAGUUGUGCAGACAAAAAAACUAUCGCGAUGGUUUUGUCACCGUUGCAUGAACACUCACAUUGACUUAAUCACAUUUUUGUUUGGCUUAAUGGCUAACCGCUGUGUUCGUGGCUUUUCUUAUGCCUUAGGAUUCUAAUGGGGCAAUAGAUCAAGAAGACCACCUGUGAUACUGUGUGAUCCAUCUUUUUGUCCUUUGGGUUUGCCUUUUGACGUUCCAUUUUCUCUCCAAAACAACUCCCAAACUACCAUUUUUCACUACUUACUGAUGGUUGGAUUACGCUGUUGUCAAUAUUUUAGCCGGCCAUAAUUUUAGACGUGGCUCACUUUUGCAACUAACCAAUCAUGAGGUGGCUCACUUCAUAGAUAAACAUAUAACAUGUUUUUUAGACGCGCAUAAUCCUCUAUGAAUAUUUUUCCUACUUGGCUCUGGGGUAACUUAUUGUAAUUAUAUUUUUUAGGGUUAUUUGAAUAAGCUUUUGAGGCUUACCUGACCUCUUUGUCCUUACAACGAAUCCAACAUUUCUCCUUUUUGAAAAUUUGAUUUUCCUUUAUUUGGCAACAUUCAGUUUAAGUUUUUUUGUUCUUCUGAUUAAACUUUCAAUAUGUUAUAUACAACUGAUUAUUUGUAUAUAUGUGUUGUAUACAUUCGUUAUUCAGCCACAUUUAUGAAUGACAGGCCUAUAUACUGAAGAGUAUUUUGUUUAUCACAUUGUGUUUUUUCCCUGUUUUGAUCUAUCUGCUAUAUACAGACAAGGCCCCUGCCAAUGCGGGAAAUACCAAAGUGUCCCUGAGUUUUUUUUCCUUUCUUAUAGCACUUACGGGAUUUUGGAAGCGAAACGAUCUUGCAAGUUGAUGGUCUGGGUGCUGUUCAGCCCAUUUAUUUUGUUGCAGGUCUUACUAAUUUGACUACCUAUCAGGGAUAUUCCAGGGAUAUAGGUUUUCACAAUUUUCCUUCUUUUGUUGUUAUGUUGCUCUCAAAACUACAAUGUGGAACAUUUGUGUUCCCACUACAAGGUACUUGCUUUCUACCUCCUUAUUGUUUCUUUGUCCUGUGAACCUCCCAUAUAUUAUACUUAAAACAGAAAUUUUGUAACAUGUGUCUAUUCUGUGAAUAUGGUCAUUAUUUGAAUUCACAGGAAAACAGGUGUUCCAUGCAUCAUAUGUUUGAAACAGGGGAACUGCAUAUCAUCUAUCACAGACAACACAAUUCUCACAUUUGAGGGUGGAUUGCAGAAACAAUUGAUUUCGGCUUUCACAAUAGAUUCGUGUUACUUUAAAAGGAGAACCUUAGCCAAACACUCAUGGAGAAAAGUGCUUGAAAAAUAAAUCAACUUUAUUUUUUGACAACAAAAGGAGGAAACAACUUUUAUUUAAAGGGAUGGAAUGAGAUAUAAGUCUAUGGAAUUGUCUAGAUAUAUGUGAUGUGAGUGCUCAAUGUAUCUGUCAUUUGUUUCCCUGUCAUGGAACCAUGCUAUUCUUUUGGUUCAUUGUUUUCCUGAUUAUUAGUUGCAGGUCAAAUGUUAUACAGAAACUAAUUUAUUAUUUUUGGUUUUCCUAUUUUUCACGCUUGCAGGGUUUCGACUAGACAUUUCCUAUACGGGUAAUUGAUGAAUCCACCAGCUUAUUAAAAAUAUAUAUUAUAUAUACAUUCUUGAUUUUUAUGUGUCAUUUCUUUAUUUUGGAUUGGAUUCUAGGGAGCUUUUCUUUAGGAGAUUUGCUGUACAUUGACAUUCAUUUAAAGACCACACAUCCUAUUCCUGACUACAUUUACAGUUUAGUCCAGCCGUCAUAGUUUAUGGUUAUCAUUAUUUUAGAUAUGAGAAUCUGCUUAAUAAAUGUACUGCAUAAUUGCUGGCGUUAUAUUUCCCUGUGGUGCCAUACAACCUGUCUAAUCAUGGUGGAUGGCCUACUAACUGUGAUGAUUAUUAUGCAUUCAUAUUCACUAAUUUACGUAAUUGAUGUAAACAAUAUGAGGGAGCGUAAAAAAAAUCAUUAAAAGCACUAUUAAUAUCUAUUGGUUGUGAGUGUUCGGAACUGAGGUCUGCAGCAACCUUUGAGGAGUCUCGAAUUAAUUUGCGGUUUUAAAGAAGUAACUGCUCCACCAGUUACAAACGCAAAACAUACAUCCAUUUAUU
Molecule: long non-coding RNA, 4631 nt
Organism: Glycine soja
Lineage: Eukaryota; Viridiplantae; Streptophyta; Magnoliopsida; Fabales; Fabaceae
Exons: 4
Source: RefSeq, a predicted model, not a curated record